This 497-nucleotide ribosomal RNA is filed under the name uncultured bacterium. RNAcentral's name for it is "bacterial SSU rRNA". It matches the Rfam family "Bacterial small subunit ribosomal RNA", at positions 28 to 514 of the family's 1533-position model. The record is from RNAcentral.
GAUGAACGCUGGCGGCGUGCCUAACACAUGCAAGUCGAACGGAGUUAUGAUGUGAGCGGGAAGUGCUUGCACUAAACAAUCUUUUCAUAACUUAGUGGCGGACGGGUGAGUAACGCGUGGGUAACCUGCCCUGUACUGGGGGACAACAGUUGGAAACGACUGCUAAUACCGCAUAAGCGCACGGGAUCGCAUGAUCCUGUGUGAAAAACUCCGGUGGUACAGGAUGGACCCGCGUCUGAUUAGCUGGUUGGUGAGGUAACGGCCCACCAAGGCAACGAUCAGUAGCCGGCCUGAGAGGGUGAACGGCCACAUUGGGACUGAGACACGGCCCAAACUCCUACGGGAGGCAGCAGUGGGGAAUAUUGCACAAUGGGGGAAACCCUGAUGCAGCGACGCCGCGUGAGUGAAGAAGUAUUUCGGUAUGUAAAGCUCUAUCAGCAGGGAAGAAAAUGACGGUACCUGACUAAGAAGCCCCGGCUAAACUACGGUGCCAGCAG